AGGCAGUGGCUCUCCAUACAUGAUGGAUACUCAAUACUCAAGCAGUAAAGGAGAAACCUCUGAAACAAAGGUAAAGAGGGCACCAUCUCCAGCACCCAGACUUUUAAUGAAAAGUGACAGAUCCAUGCACGAAUGUUCUACAGUCAGCAUCGACUCUGUGCCCUCAAAAGAGGUAAAGAGGGCACCAUCUCCAGCACCCAGACUUUUGAUGAAAAGUGAC
Long non-coding RNA from Pygocentrus nattereri (red-bellied piranha), 220 nucleotides. RefSeq lists it as uncharacterized. NCBI's taxonomy places the organism in Eukaryota, Metazoa, Chordata, Actinopteri, Characiformes, Serrasalmidae. The transcript has 3 exons. The record is from RefSeq and is a predicted model, not a curated record.